UUUUCGGCCAUGGGGGGAACCCUGACCGAGCAACGCCGCGUGAAGGAAGAAGGAAUUCGUUCUGUAAACUUCUGUUAUAAAGGAAGAAAGACGGAUGGAGGAAAUGACACCCGAGUGACGGUACGUUAUGAGAAAGCCACGGCUAACUACGUGCCAGCAGCCGCGGUAAUACGUAGGUGGCAAGCGUUAUCCGGAAUUAUUGGGCGUAAAGAGGGAGCAGGCGGCAGCAAAGGUCUGUGGUGAAAGACUGAAGCUUAACUUCAGUAAGCCAUAGAAACCGGGCAGCUAGAGUGCAGGAGGGGAUCGUGGAAUUCCAUGUGUAGCGGUGAAAUGCGUAGAUAUAUGGAGGAACACCAAUGGCGAAGGCGACGAUCUGGCCUGCAACUGACGCUCAGUCCCGAAAGCGUGGGGGGCAAAUAGGA
Molecule: ribosomal RNA, 422 nt
Filed under: uncultured bacterium
Lineage: Bacteria
Description: bacterial SSU rRNA
Rfam family: Bacterial small subunit ribosomal RNA
Source: RNAcentral